Molecule: long non-coding RNA, 846 nt
Organism: Phyllopteryx taeniolatus (common seadragon)
Lineage: Eukaryota; Metazoa; Chordata; Actinopteri; Syngnathiformes; Syngnathidae
Exons: 4
Source: RefSeq, a predicted model, not a curated record
GUCACAUGUCUUGCCAUGUCAUAGUCGCCAGUUGUUUUUAUCAUUGUGUUUAAAUAUUAUUUUGAGAUUCCUGCACUCCUGCCUUGCCUCCCUGCUUCCCUGCAAUUGGGUCCACCAUGUUCUUGCCUUGCGUUCCUCGCCUUCUCCCUAACCACGAUUACUUGCUGCCUCUGGCUACAUUCUCUGCGAGUAUUGAUGUGGAGACCUUGGGAGCGGUGUCGCGCGUGACCCUUAACCCCGCCACCCAAUUUGCCUUUGGUGCGCGUUGAAAGAAUUCCGCCGCCUCGUGCCACACGGAGGAUAACCUUCACCAUUCUGUAGAGAUGAAACAGGUAGGCAGGCAGGCCCGUCGAGGCGGUGGUGCUGCCUCCCUCCAGCUGGUGUCUCCACCACACGCCAGAUGGCCUAGCACGUCUGAACAACAUUUGCCCUCCCGGUCUCAAAGCGACAGAUUCUGUGCCAAAGUGUUUACUGUAUGUCUGGAGAUGGCAGUACAUCGGCGGUGGAGCAAAGGCUCCGCCUUUUCAUACCAACAAGAGGAAGAGAAAAAAGUGACAUGACUCAGCGGAAAUGACAUCCUCAAGCCAAUUGCUCCGACCCUGGGGCGUUAAACCCCUGCUGCAAUAUGAUUGGCUCCUGCAUCACAGCAGGGCAGUUUACGCCGAUGUCCAUUCUAAAUGUUAUCACGUUUGUACAAAAUAAAAACAAUCAUCAAAAUGUUAUCACAUUUGUAGAAAAUAAAAACAAUCAAGUUUGUUAUGGUUAGGGUUACGGUUGUGGUUAGAGUGGGUGAGGAUGGGUUAGCAUGGGUUACGAUUCGUGGGAUUCAUAAUAAUGUCGCCACAC